RNAcentral lists this ribosomal RNA (1204 nucleotides) under Novosphingobium sp. Leaf2. RNAcentral describes it as "Bacterial large subunit ribosomal RNA". It matches the Rfam family "Bacterial large subunit ribosomal RNA", at positions 1746 to 2925 of the family's 2925-position model. Lineage: Bacteria; Pseudomonadati; Pseudomonadota; Alphaproteobacteria; Sphingomonadales; Sphingomonadaceae. The record is from Rfam by way of RNAcentral.
GGGGGCCCCCAUCGUGAUGGACACUAGCUGUCCGGAGCGUGCAGGGGCCGCAGAGACCAGGGGGAAGCGACUGUUUACUAAAAACACAGGUCCGUGCGAAGUCGCAAGACGAUGUAUACGGACUGACUCCUGCCCGGUGCUGGAAGGUUAAGAGGACCGGUUAGCCUGUAAGGGCGAAGCUGAGAAUUUAAGCCCCAGUAAACGGCGGUGGUAACUAUAACCAUCCUAAGGUAGCGAAAUUCCUUGUCGGGUAAGUUCCGACCUGCACGAAUGGAGUAACGACUUCCCCGCUGUCUCAACCAUAAACUCGGCGAAAUUGCAGUACGAGUAAAGAUGCUCGUUACGCGCAGCAGGACGGAAAGACCCCGAGACCUUUACUAUAGUUUGGUAUUGGUGUUCGGAGUGGCUUGUGUAGGAUAGGUGGGAGACGUUGAAGCCCGGACGCCAGUUCGGGUGGAGUCAUCGUUGAAAUACCACUCUGGUCACUUUGGACAUCUAACUUCGGCCCGUAAUCCGGGUCAGGGACAGUGCCUGAUGGGUAGUUUAACUGGGGCGGUUGCCUCCUAAAAAGUAACGGAGGCGCCCAAAGGUUCCCUCAGCCUGGUUGGCAAUCAGGUGUCGAGUGUAAGUGCACAAGGGAGCUUGACUGUGAGAGAGACAUCUCGAGCAGGGACGAAAGUCGGGACUAGUGAUCCGGCGGUACAUUGUGGAAUGGCCGUCGCUCAACGGAUAAAAGGUACCUCGGGGAUAACAGGCUGAUCUUGCCCAAGAGUCCAUAUCGACGGCAUGGUUUGGCACCUCGAUGUCGGCUCGUCGCAUCCUGGGGCUGGAGUAGGUCCCAAGGGUUGGGCUGUUCGCCCAUUAAAGCGGUACGCGAGCUGGGUUUAGAACGUCGUGAGACAGUUCGGUCCCUAUCCGCUGCGCGCGCAGGAAAUUUGAGAAGGGCUGUCCUUAGUACGAGAGGACCGGGACGGACGAACCUCUGGUGUGUCAGUUGUACUGCCAAGUGCACCGCUGAUUAGCUACGUUCGGAUGGGAUAACCGCUGAAAGCAUCUAAGCGGGAAGCUCGCUUCGAGAUGAGAUUUCCAUACACUUUAUUGUGUGAGAGGCCCCCAGCCAGACCACUGGGUUGAUAGGCCGGAUGUGGAAGCGAGGACUAACGACUCGUGAAGCUGACCGGUACUAAUAGGCCRAYAACUUACA